GCGCAUGCGCGACCCCGGGGGGGCGGCCCUGGCCCCGCCCCCCGGGAGGGACCCACGGUGGACAGGGCGUGUCCCCGGUGCUCCCACCAGGGGCUGUGGUUCCACACGCGGCAGAUGCGCUCGGCCGACGAGGGCCAGACCGUGUUCUACACCUGCCCCCGCUGCAGGUUCCAGGAGAAGGAAGAUUCCUGAAAUUCCCAAUUUUGGGGGAUUUUUUGGGGGGGAAGAAUUUGGGGGAUUUUUUAAAAAAUUAUUUUUGGGAUUUUGGGGG
Molecule: long non-coding RNA, 271 nt
Organism: Camarhynchus parvulus
Lineage: Eukaryota; Metazoa; Chordata; Aves; Passeriformes; Thraupidae
Exons: 3
Source: RefSeq, a predicted model, not a curated record